CUGGUGGCACAGGCCUGUAGUACCAGCUACUCAGGAAGCCAAGGCAGGAGGAUCACUUGAGCCCAGGAGGUCAAGGCUGCAGUGAGCCAUGAUCGCACCAGUGCACUCCAGCGUGGGUGAUAGAGUGAGACCUUGUCUCAAAUAAAAAAAGUGGGAUUCGUUUGGCUGCUGUGUGGGGAGGACUGUUGGUUGUCAGGGACAAGGACAGAAGGCUGGAGGUCAGCACACUAGACAGGAGUGCUGGCAGUAGAGGUGGGAAGAAGUGAAAUUUUGGAUCUAUUUUGAAGGUGGAGCCCACAGGACUUGUAUAAGACUGAUUGGAGUGGGGACUGGGGCAACGACGAGAGAAAGUGAUGAAGGGUAACUUUGAGGUUCUGGCCUGAGCAUUGGAGGGACGGUGGGGCCAUUUUGUGAGGUGAGAAGACCAGGAAUUCCAUUUGGCCACGUCAGGUUUGACAUGCAUGUUAAGCGUCUUCCCUCAAAGACUUUAUGGACCCUCGUCACUGAGUCGAGCGCCUCCACCAGGGCCCUCAGAGCUGCCCUGAUCCUGACUAGCUGUCACUGGUGACAGGUCUGUCUCUCUGCUUCAAGGCAGGGACAGGGUUGGUCUGGUGCCCUCGCUCCCGCCGCCCUGCGCAGAGUCGGUGCUCAGUAAGUAUCUGUAGGAUGAGGGAAUAAUAAGUGCUCCCAGAAGAGAGGCCGCGGACCCCAGGGAUGCCUCUGGAUUGCAGCCUUGUCAAAAGGACAGAUAAUGUGUGGCAUGGGGGCGGGGACAGGCAGAUAGUAACAUAGGGGCGGGGGCAAGCAGAUGGUCUUAUCCUGUCUUGGGGAAGGGAGUGGCCCGGUAAGAGACAGGCCGGACCGCAGCGUUCAAAGUGGGAAUCCUGGCUACAAGGCCUCAGGGACACGGGCGCUGGGAAAUCACAGAGGCCUUACGCUCGAAGAGACCCUCAACCCUCCCACGGCACCGCAACAAAGAGCCGGAGUCCACAUGCCGACCCACCGCAGGAGGAAAUACUCACCCGGGCAGAACUCAGUGCUGGGAUGCCCACACUGCCCACCACGCGGAAGCCUGGCCCGGAAGUGACUCCGAGACUACCACUCCCAUAAGGUCUUGGGGCUUUCUUGCCUAGAACUCCCAGAAGCCCAUGCGACACUUCCGCUGGAUGCGCCUACGGCUCCGGGGUCCCGCUUGGCCUACAACUCCCAGAAACACUUGCAUUGCUCUUUCUGCCGCUCCCAAAAUACACUGCUCCCCCUCCCCCCGCGUUUACUUUCUGCGCCUGCGCGCGGCCGCAGGGAGCGGCGGAGCUGCGUGUACUGUUGUCAUGGCAGCGCGCUGUCACCCGGCAGGUUGCUGGAUGGGCGAAGUAGUUGUAUUCUGAUUAACUGAUUUUGUGGGAUUAUUAUAGGAUUUUAAGGGGAUUACAGGGCCUAUGAUUUCUGCCCUUUGAGGCGGGGUUGCGGGUGGGAAUUGAAGGUGGAACUGCAGGGGUUGGUCGCUAGUGUAAAAGGCGCAGAUAGCGCAUGCGUAGAGCAGACUUCGAGGAUUGGAGUGGAACUCCGCGCGCACGCGGGGGCUGUCGUGAUGCGCGUGCUGGAGACCCAGACUCUAAACAGAAGGAUCCAAAGACCCUUCUCACCUAACCCAGGAGCCCAGAGGCUCAGAGACUCAGACCCUUGAGACUAAGGGGGUUAAAAACGCAGACCCCUGGCACCAAAGCACCUGAGAGAACCAGUAGACCUGGAGACAACCGUCUGCACCCUAGACACAGGGAUCUGGAGGCCUCCACCCUCCCCACAAGGCCCAAGGGUCUUGAAGACCCCGGUGACUCAAAUACCGGGGCACAAGGAGUUUAAGGACUCAGAUAUCUGAGACCCUUGAGAUCCAGGUCCCCAAACCUAGGUCCUCGAAAAAACUGAGGCUCAAAAUUCCUCUAGACGGCGCGGUGGCUUACACCUGUAAUCCCAGCACUUUGGGAGGCCGAGGC
RNAcentral lists this long non-coding RNA (1991 nucleotides) under Homo sapiens (human). RNAcentral's name for it is "HSALNT0261670". The record is from RNAcentral. Lineage: Eukaryota; Metazoa; Chordata; Mammalia; Primates; Hominidae.